This 83-nucleotide ribosomal RNA is filed under the name uncultured fungus. Its description in RNAcentral is "partial 5.8S ribosomal RNA". The record is from RNAcentral. Lineage: Eukaryota; Fungi.
ACCAUGUUAAAUCUGAACUUUGUUAAAAUAAACUAAAACUUUCAACAACGGAUCUCUUGGUUCUGGCAUUGAGUCUUACCAGC